Molecule: transfer RNA, 69 nt
Filed under: Urocitellus parryii (Arctic ground squirrel)
Lineage: Eukaryota; Metazoa; Chordata; Mammalia; Rodentia; Sciuridae
Also listed under: 2 other names
Description: Spermophilus parryii (Arctic ground squirrel) tRNA
Rfam family: tRNA
About the family: Transfer RNA (tRNA) molecules are approximately 80 nucleotides in length. Their secondary structure includes four short double-helical elements and three loops (D, anti-codon, and T loops). Further hydrogen bonds mediate the characteristic L-shaped molecular structure. tRNAs have two regions of fundamental functional importance: the anti-codon, which is responsible for specific mRNA codon recognition, and the 3' end, to which the tRNAs corresponding amino acid is attached (by aminoacyl-tRNA synthetases). tRNAs cope with the degeneracy of the genetic code in two manners: having more than one tRNA (with a specific anti-codon) for a particular amino acid; and 'wobble' base-pairing, i.e. permitting non-standard base-pairing at the 3rd anti-codon position.
Source: Rfam by way of RNAcentral
GGGGUUGUAGCUCAGUGGUAGAGUGCUUGCCUCUUAUGUGUGAGGCACAGGGUUCGAUCCUCAGCACCA